RNAcentral lists this transfer RNA (73 nucleotides) under Deltaproteobacteria bacterium. Its description in RNAcentral is "tRNA-Ala". It matches the Rfam family "tRNA". Rfam says of the family: Transfer RNA (tRNA) molecules are approximately 80 nucleotides in length. Their secondary structure includes four short double-helical elements and three loops (D, anti-codon, and T loops). Lineage: Bacteria; Pseudomonadati; Myxococcota; Myxococcia. The record is from RNAcentral. RNAcentral also lists the same sequence under 1 other name.
GGGGCCGUAGCUCAGUUGGGAGAGCGCUACACUCGCACUGUAGAGGUCGGGGGUUCGACUCCCCUCGGCUCCA